Non-coding RNA from Ameiurus melas (black bullhead), 73 nucleotides. Lineage: Eukaryota; Metazoa; Chordata; Actinopteri; Siluriformes; Ictaluridae. The record is from the annotation of a GenBank genome assembly.
GGCAAGGUGGUUUAGUGGUUAGAACAUUUGCCUCGUGCCUCCAGGUUUGAGGGCUCAAUUCCCACUUCUGCCC